Molecule: RNA transcript, 2315 nt
Organism: Lolium perenne
Lineage: Eukaryota; Viridiplantae; Streptophyta; Magnoliopsida; Poales; Poaceae
Source: RefSeq, a predicted model, not a curated record
CCCGGUAUGUAUAAAACAUAUUUCCAAACCGUAAAAAAUUUAGGAAAAAAAUUUAGCAUGUAGAGGGACAUGUUCUAUGUGUGCACGUAAAUUUUCACCUAAAACCAACAUUUUUUGUACCCUGUGUAAAAAAGGCAAAUAAUGCCUCAAAAAAUAGACUAUUUUAGCACCUAAGAUUUGUCUUUUUUGCACAAGGCAUGAAACAUAUCGGUUUUUGCUGAAACAACUUUGUAAGCAUGUAACAUGUCAAGGUAUACACAAAGAAUUUUUAUUUGUAUUUUUCUAACAUUUUUAAAUAUAUUUAAUAUGCGUUUUAAAUAAAGGGUGCAUAUGCACCCGGGUGUAGAAACACCCUGUCCACCACAACUCCUCCUUCUUUCUCCUCAAUCAUGCUGCCGCCCUCUCCUGAACUGCGCCACCAGCCGCCGUGGCCGCCCCCGCUCCUCCGUCGCAUUCGCUGCCGCCGCCCCUCCCUCCGUCGAAGCCGGCAGCCGCCGCGGCCGCCCCCUCUCCUCCAUCAUAGCCGGCAGCCGCCGCGGCCGACCCCUCUCCUCCAUCGCAGACGCGAACCGCCGCCGCUGCCCCCUCCUUCCGUCGCAGCCGCCAGCCGCCGCGGGUGCGACCUCUCCUCCAUCUUAGCCGCCAGCCAUCGCGGCCGGCCCCUCUCCUCCGUCGUAGACGCGAGCCGCCGCCGUCCCCUCCCUCCGUCGCAGCCGCCAGACGCCGCCGUCGCCCCCUCCCUCCGUCGCAGCCGCCAGCCACCGGCGCCCCUCCCUCCGUCGCAACCGCCAGCCGCCGCCACCCUCUCCGUCACAGCCCCCCGACCCUCCGUCACGGGGAUCGUCGGGAGAGCCACAAAAUAUGAGUUGAAAGUCAUACAACGGUAUUUACAUAAAGCCAUCUGUUCUCAUUAAGCAACAAUGUUCAGAUAGAAAGCAAAUAUGUUUGUGUUAUCCAUCAGUUGCUUGUUACUGGAUACCUAAAAGAAAGAUUAAUGGUAUAUUGUCUGCAACUAGGUUCAAAUCAAAUUCAGUAUUUGGGAAUUUCUAUCUCCUAGUGGCUAAUGCAGGUGUACCCCUGUCAAAGGAAAAUACCAAGUCCUACCAGAUUUUUGUGUGUUCAGUACUGCCUGCUCACUGUCAAUAGAGCCGCAUGGCCAUGCAAAAGUGAAGAGCUUAUGCUAAUUUUAGUUGUUACAUAUGUAAAUAAGGUUGGCGGUUUUGGCUGUAGAGGAAGAUAUGGCCCUUAGCUCAUUGCUGACAUGGAUACAUGAUCAACUCCCCAGUAUGUAUGACCAGUCUUCACAUGGUGUCUCUGAUUUUUGCUUAAAUGCAGCGUUCCUGCUUUGUUCAUAAGGACAGUUGGUCUCCGCUGCCAUUCAACUGUUGAUACAUCAACAUCUUCAGAGUCAGUCGCAUAUCGUUGGACAGAAGGAGGCAUUGAGAAAUCUGAAGGUGGUUUGAUAGUGUAGAUGGCCAAAGGUAAACCAAUAGCUUUAGCAUCAGCCAACAAGAGCCUACUAAGCUCUAUGCCGCCGAUCAGUUCUUCAUCCGACAGUGCGGCUUCAAGCAUGACAAAGUCAUUGAGAUCCCGAUAGUGGCAGCGAAGCGGAGGUUGCCCCUGGUGGCGAGGUGCAGUGCGGCGGACAUUUUGGCGGCAAGUUGCGGAGUUGAUUUCCACGAUGUGAUCAGUCAAAAAUUAUAAGGUGAAGCCUGUAAUAUAUGAGGAUGGGGCACUAGUUAUCUUUAAUUAUGAGAAUGUGACCACAUCAUGUUCUUAUAGAAGAUACGAAUCCAAAGGUUUGUUGUGCAAGGAGGAUAUACAGACCUUCUACUUCAAAAUGAUUGAUCGUCAUAGCUUCUGCACCCUUCGAUAAGAAUGGAUUUUGAUGUAGUGAAUCUCAGAAAAUGGAAGGAGUAGGCAUAGCAAUAAUUUUGAUCGUCCGGGGGAUCGCCAGCAGAGUUACGGACCCGUCCCCUCCGUCGCUGGGAUCGCUGAUGCUGCAGCGACCAGGACAUCAUGAUGAGAUUGUCGAUGACUUGGCUGUCCUUAUGGAGUCGCCCGGUAACUGGUCACAUUGUGGUCCGCUCUAAAUGUUAUGUCUGAGUCUGCUCCCAAAGUUCAGUUUGUGUAUCUUUCUCACUGUUGUUAUGUUGUAAAGAGCUGUAUGUAUGUGAUGCUUCUGGCUUCUGAGUCCGUUUGUUUCGUGACUCAGUUCCAAAGAUACAAAAAGUAGAGCUAAAUAUGACAGCAUCAAAAGUUCCAGAUGUAAUUUAAAUUUUAUAUGAGGAUCUUAAUUGUUUGUGUGUGUUUCA